RNAcentral lists this ribosomal RNA (253 nucleotides) under uncultured bacterium. Its description in RNAcentral is "partial 16S ribosomal RNA". It matches the Rfam family "Bacterial small subunit ribosomal RNA", at positions 524 to 776 of the family's 1533-position model. The record is from RNAcentral.
UACGUAGGGUGCGAGCGUUGUCCGGAAUUAUUGGGCGUAAAGGGCUCGUAGGCGGUUUGUCGCGUCGGGAGUGAAAUCCACUGGCUUAACUGGUGGCUUGCUUUCGAUACGGGCAGACUGGAGGUAUGCAGGGGAGACUGGAAUUCCUGGUGUAGCGGUGAAAUGCGCAGAUAUCAGGAGGAACACCGAUGGCGAAGGCAGGUCUCUGGGCAUUAACUGACGCUGAGGAGCGAAAGCAUGGGGAGCGAACAGG